CGCGUAGGCGGCCUGGUCAGUCGGAUGUGAAAGCCCCGGGCUUAACCUGGGAAUUGCAUUCGAUACUGCCAGGCUGGAGUGUAGUAGAGGGAAGCGGAAUUCCGGGUGUAGCGGUGAAAUGCGUAGAGAUCCGGAGGAACAUCAGUGGCGAAGGCGGCUUCCUGGACUAACACUGACGCUGAGGUGCAAAAGCGUGGGGAGCAAACA
Molecule: ribosomal RNA, 207 nt
Filed under: uncultured bacterium
Lineage: Bacteria
Description: partial 16S ribosomal RNA
Rfam family: Bacterial small subunit ribosomal RNA
Source: RNAcentral